GAUGAACGCUAGCGGGAGGCCUAACACAUGCAAGCCGAGCGGUAUUGUUUCUUCGGAAAUGAGAGAGCGGCGUACGGGUACGUAACACGUGUGCAACCUGCCUUUAUCUGGGGGAUAGCCUUUCGAAAGGAAGAUUAAUACUCCAUAAUAUAUUGAACGGCAUCGUUUAAUAUUGAAAGCUCCGGCGGAUAGAGAUGGGCACGCGCAAGAUUAGCUAGUUGGUGAGGUAACGGCUCACCAAGGCGAUGAUCUUUAGGGGGCCUGAGAGGGUGAUCCCCCACACUGGUACUGAGACACGGACCAGACUCCUACGGGAGGCAGCAGUGAGGAAUAUUGGUCAAUGGGUGCAAGCCUGAACCAGCCAUCCCGCGUGAAGGACGACUGCCCUAUGGGUUGUAAACUUCUUUUGUAUAGGGAUAAACCUACCCUCGAGAGGGUAGCUGAAGGUACUAUACGAAUAAGCACCGGCUAACUCCGUG
Molecule: ribosomal RNA, 479 nt
Filed under: uncultured bacterium
Lineage: Bacteria
Description: partial 16S ribosomal RNA
Rfam family: Bacterial small subunit ribosomal RNA
Source: RNAcentral